Long non-coding RNA from Vespa crabro (European hornet), 623 nucleotides. RefSeq lists it as uncharacterized. The transcript has 3 exons. The record is from RefSeq and is a predicted model, not a curated record. NCBI's taxonomy places the organism in Eukaryota, Metazoa, Arthropoda, Insecta, Hymenoptera, Vespidae.
GUGGUGGAGAUAGUGGUGGUGGUGGUGGUGGAGCCGGAGGCGGAGGUGGAAGAGGUGGUUUCCAGAGAACAGUCGGCUCGAAAGGAAGGGAAAGGGGUUGCUUCGUCGUACAAGAGCACCAACUACGUCUGCCUAUCUUCUAUCUAUCUGCUUAUGCUACUAGACAGUAGUAUAACCUCACAAGCUUCUCUCAUUGACUACCGUCCUUAACGAAAAGAAUCAUAUCGGAAACUGCAAUUAACGGAGAAAGGGGAUGAAAAGGUGAAUGAACGGACUGCGAUGGAACGUAUCUAGGAGGACAGGUACCAUCUGCCUGCCUCGCUAUAGAUAUAAAAAAUGAGGAAAAGAAAAAAGAAAGGGAAAGGAAGUGGAAGAGGAAAUAAGAAGUACCGAAUUAAUCGAUCUGCUUAUUAUACUAUUGGUGCAUUAAACCUUUCCUAAGAAAAAAAAGUAUUUUAAAGUAAAAGAAAAAUAAUGAUUAAGCCAUCCGAAAUGUUUAUAUAUAAAAUUCAUGCAAUUCACUCUUCGAGUUCUUAUCGAAUUUUAUUAUUAUUUGAUUUUAAUCUAUCAAUAUAUUAUAGUUUCAUUCAAUUCCACUUCACUCAAUUACUCAAUUUAUUCAA